GGACUACAAGGGUAUCUAAUCCUAUUCGCUACCCAAGCCUUCGUCCCUCAACGUCAGUUAUUAGAUAAAAGGUCGCCUUCGCCGUUACCAGUCUCUAUGGUAUUAAAAAAUUUCAACUCUACUCCAUAAAUUCUCCCCUCCUCAUAUAUAACUCUAGUAAUAAUCGUAUCCUGUUAUGGACUAAAUAUACCGUCUAGGUACCCUUUAAACCUAUUAAAGAUGAAUAACACUAGUCUUCUACGUAUUACCGCGGCUGCUGGCAC
RNAcentral lists this ribosomal RNA (263 nucleotides) under uncultured bacterium. Its description in RNAcentral is "partial 16S ribosomal RNA". The record is from RNAcentral.